Meriones unguiculatus (Mongolian gerbil) is the source of this 127-nucleotide small nucleolar RNA. Lineage: Eukaryota; Metazoa; Chordata; Mammalia; Rodentia; Muridae. The record is from Ensembl.
CCUGCCCCAGAAGCUUCGUGGAUGUGGCUGCUGUCUCACAUAUGAACCAGUAGGUGGCAGAAGAGAGACUGUAUCUAAGCUCAGUGUUCUGACCUAUGAACAUCUGAAUGACUGGCAGUCUAGCAUU